AGCGAACGCUGGCGGCAGGCCUAACACAUGCAAGUCGAACGAACCUUUCGGGGUUAGUGGCGGACGGGUGAGUAACACGUGGGAACGUGCCUUUAGGUUCGGAAUAACUCAGGGAAACUUGUGCUAAUACCGAAUGUGGCCUUCGGGGGAAAGAUUUAUCGCCUUUAGAGCGGACCGCGUCUGAUUAGCUAGUUGGUUGCGGUAAUGGCUCACCAAGGCGACGAUCAGUAGCUGGUCUGAGAGGAUGAUCAGCCACAUUGGGACUGAGACACGGCCCAAACUCCUACGGGAGGCAGCAGUGGGGAAUCUUGCGCAAUGGGCGAAAGCCUGACGCAGCCAUGCCGCGUAAAUGAUGAAGGUCUUAGGAUUGUAAAAUUCUUUCACCGGGGACGAUAAUGACGGUACCCGAAGAAGAAGCCCCGGCUAACUUCGUG
This 434-nucleotide ribosomal RNA is filed under the name uncultured bacterium. RNAcentral's name for it is "partial 16S ribosomal RNA". It matches the Rfam family "Bacterial small subunit ribosomal RNA", at positions 29 to 507 of the family's 1533-position model. The record is from RNAcentral.